UUUGUGAAUUUUGGAUGGAAUCGAAGAAACAAUGUGCUCGCUCGACAUGUUCAUGCUUCCUGACUGGCUAUGUGGAUAGGAAUGAGGUUGUUGUUGGGAGGUAAUUCCUUCUUUUGCAUCAUUUGCCCAGCAGAAGGUGCUCCAUCUGAUGCUACUGCUGCUUUUAGGGAACUACUGUAGACGCAAAGAGUAGGAAUUGCACAUAUCAGGUGAUAGUGGAGGCUCUUGUACCUUGUACUACUUGUCUACUUAUGCUGUCCUGUAAACAACACUUGUUUGUACAGUAAAUCGUUGAUUCGUCUUCUUGAAAUAUUCUGCAUCUUAUUGUUUAUAAAUCUACUGUA
Molecule: long non-coding RNA, 344 nt
Organism: Triticum aestivum (bread wheat)
Lineage: Eukaryota; Viridiplantae; Streptophyta; Magnoliopsida; Poales; Poaceae
Exons: 2
Source: RefSeq, a predicted model, not a curated record